This 403-nucleotide RNase P RNA is filed under the name Treponema sp. RNAcentral describes it as "RNase P RNA component class A". It matches the Rfam family "Bacterial RNase P class A". Rfam says of the family: Ribonuclease P (RNase P) is a ubiquitous endoribonuclease, found in archaea, bacteria and eukarya as well as chloroplasts and mitochondria. Its best characterised activity is the generation of mature 5'-ends of tRNAs by cleaving the 5'-leader elements of precursor-tRNAs. Lineage: Bacteria; Pseudomonadati; Spirochaetota; Spirochaetia; Treponematales; Treponemataceae. The record is from RNAcentral.
CAGAAAAGAUAUAACCGUGCCUGAUAAGAUUUAUGAUAGUUUUAUCAGGUGAGGAAAGUCCGGGCUCCACCGGAAAAAAUGCCGGGUAAUAACCGGGCGAGUGAUGGUAGUUGUUAUUUAUAACAUAACCCAUGGCUUGACAGAUAGUGCAACAGAAAGUGUACCGCCUAUAUUUUAGGUAAGGGUGAAAAGGCGAGGUAAGAGCUCACCGCAAAAUUGGUAACAAUUUUGGCAUUGAAAACCUCAUUUGGAGCAAAGUCGAGUAGUCAGUAUUGCUUUUCCGGGCAGAUUACUGAGGGUAGAUUGCUAAAGAUAUUUGGUAACAAAUAUUUCGGAUAGAUGGUUAUGAGUUUUGUUUUUUAACAAAACAGGACAGAACCCGGCUUAUAGUCUUUUCUGUUUU